Molecule: long non-coding RNA, 689 nt
Filed under: Eucalyptus grandis
Lineage: Eukaryota; Viridiplantae; Streptophyta; Magnoliopsida; Myrtales; Myrtaceae
Description: long non-coding RNA (EGRA_LNC005007)
Source: RNAcentral
UUCAAUCCAUGAAAUUUGUGGUUCAUAGAAGUAAAAUAUUUUCCCACAUUUCACUUGGUAAAUUCUUCCAUCCCAAAUUUUUUCCUACAACACAAUUAUUUAUUAAACCAAUCUGCAAUGCCGGACGCUCGAUCCAGCAACUCUGAAAGUCUGGACAGUGUUUCUUCUAAGGAAGUGCCCUCUGAGCUCUCUGAGUCCUCAGAACCACGAGAAUUGUAGAAAAGAAAACCAAAGAUUACAACGAAGACGACUACUAUGCCUGCGAUGACCCAUCCUGGAGUAGCCCACCACGAAAUAUUGUUGUCAUCGGACGAUACCGAAUUCGGGACAAAUGAAGGGGGCAAGUACGGGUAACUCGGACAAUUUUGUGGACAGUUUUUGCUCUCCAUCAAGAAAACUCCCUGUAGUUCAAUAAAAGCGAUGAAUUUACAAACAUAAUUUGAAGUAUCUAUUCACGCAAGAAAAGAAGUAGUUCUCCCAAAAGAGGGUACUUUAUUAGAAAAUAAGCACCUUUGAUCACAUAGAUCAAGAAGAUUAUAUAACCCGAGUGCAAGAACGAGAUAAUUGAAAAUGGAAUUUAACAGGAUAUGGUAUAAGUCGAAGAGUCGAAGGAGGUGCUUCCACGUACCUUAUCAAGAAGAACUAAGUAAACCAGUGAGUGAUGCUUUCGGUAUAAUUCUCACACAACC